GAUGAAGAACGCAGCGAAAUGCGAUACGUAAUGUGAAUUGCAGAAUUCAGUGAAUCAUCGAGUCUUUGAACGCACAUUGCGCCCCCUGGUAUUCCGGGGGGCAUGCCUGUCCGAGCGUCAUUGCUGCCCUCAAGCACGGCUUGUGUGUUGGGCCUCCGUCCUCCUCCCGGGGGACGGGCCCGAAAGGCAGCGGCGGCACCGCGUCCGGUCCUCGAGCGUAUGGGGCUUCGUCACCCGCUCUAGUAGGCCCGGCCGGCGCUUGCCGACACAUCAAUCUUUUUUCCAGGUUGACCUCGGAUCAGGUAGGGAUACCCGCUGAACUUAAGCAUAUCAAUAAGCGGAGGA
This 345-nucleotide unclassified non-coding RNA is filed under the name soil metagenome. Its description in RNAcentral is "partial contains 5.8S ribosomal RNA, internal transcribed spacer 2, and large subunit ribosomal RNA". The stretch from base 1 to 120 matches the Rfam family "5.8S ribosomal RNA", at positions 35 to 154 of the family's 154-position model. The record is from RNAcentral.